This 636-nucleotide long non-coding RNA is filed under the name Nicotiana benthamiana. RNAcentral's name for it is "long non-coding RNA (NBEN_LNC026875)". The record is from RNAcentral. Lineage: Eukaryota; Viridiplantae; Streptophyta; Magnoliopsida; Solanales; Solanaceae.
ACGGAUAAAAAUCGAGCAAAUGCUUCAACCAAAACUCGAAAUAACAAUCAAACUCAAACGGGAUCACGAACCCUACUGCGAACGACACGUUGAACUAAAUGUUUGAAAAUCUGAAACAUUAGAAGAAGAAGACGUUUUGUUUUUACUUUAAUGAUUUUCUCCUCUCUUUGUUUUUACCAUAUCUUCUCCCCUGUGUGUGUGCAUUUUUGAGCAGUAGAGAGGUGUGAAAAGAAGCACAGGGGUUAGCCUAGCGGUGAGGAGCUGGUGAUAAGGUGGCUGCUUGUUUUAUGAAGGUGUGGACUGGUCAUUUAUACUCAAGAGGAGAAUGGGUUACUGGUUAGUGUGGAUCUAGAGAGAGUUCGUUAAUGGGGUCUUAGGGUUCUGGUGUUGGUGGUUUUUAGAGUGAGGGAGAUGAAGUUUUGGUGUUCUCUUAGGGUGUGUUGAUGGCUACAGAAGGUUUGAUCUUAGAUGGAGAAAAAGUUAGUUUGGUAUUCUUUGGGUGGGAAUCUGUUAGAGUAGAUGAUCUCCAGCGUCUAUUUUUGUCCAAAUAGCUAUCCUCUAGAUUUAGGAGCUCUUAUGGCUGCUUUCUUUGUGUAGAAGAUAGGUCCUUAGUUUUUUUGUGGUUUUUGUUCAUCC